UGACCCGGACGUGAUUUGAACACGCAGCCUUCUGAUCUGGAGUCAGACGCGUUAGUGUUGUGCCACCGAGUC
RNAcentral lists this transfer RNA (72 nucleotides) under Araneus ventricosus. RNAcentral's name for it is "tRNA-Trp". The record is from RNAcentral. Lineage: Eukaryota; Metazoa; Arthropoda; Arachnida; Araneae; Araneidae.